This 463-nucleotide ribosomal RNA is filed under the name uncultured bacterium. RNAcentral describes it as "partial 16S ribosomal RNA". It matches the Rfam family "Bacterial small subunit ribosomal RNA", at positions 28 to 507 of the family's 1533-position model. The record is from RNAcentral.
GACGAACGCUGGCGGCGUGCUUAACACAUGCAAGUCGAACGGAAAGGCCCUGCUUGCCGGGUACUCGAGUGGCGAACGGGUGAGUAACACGUGGGUGAUCUGCCCUUCACUUCGGGAUAAGCCUGGGAAACUGGGUCUAAUACCGGAUAGGAGCCAUUUUUAGUGUGAUGGUUGGAAAGUUUUUUCGGUGUAGGAUGAGCUCGCGGCCUAUCAGCUUGUUGGUGGGGUAAUGGCCUACCAAGGCGGCGACGGGUAGCCGGCCUGAGAGGGUGGACGGCCAAAUGGGAAUGAAGAAACGCCCAAAACCCCCACGGGAGGAAGAAGGGGGGAAAAUGGCAAAAGGGGCGAAACCUUAAGCAACCGACCCCGGGUGGGGAAAAACGCCCUUCGGUUGUAAAACUCUUUUCCCUAGGAACAAACCUUUUUGAAAGUAACCAAAAAAAAAAGCCCCGCCAAACUAAUG